UAGCAACUCUCUCUCUGCUCUGCAGGAAGAUCUCCUCCUGUUUGAACUCUUUACCUGGGUCCAUCUUCCUAGAGGAAGCAGAUGAGCAGCUCCAACUCUUGCUUCUGACAGGACAUGACACCAUUUACAAGGGUUGAAGGUUCUGGGGGCCUGGUCUUGGGGUCAUAGCAAUGGUCUGACUGCACUCUGCUGAUGGAUAAAGCCUAUGUUUUACAUUCUGCCUGAGUAAUUGUGAUAAAUAUUGAUAGGUGUGCUCUGUUACUAAUUUAUUUCAGGCAGAGCAUGUCUCUGAAGCUGUGGAAUGACCUUGACAGAGCGAGCAGUGCUUACCAGGCAUAAGUAUCUCUGCUGAGGGCAUGGCAAAGGCCAGGGGAUCCUGUCAACACAGCUGAAAGAUACUGCUACUCAACAGGAGCUUCCUUGGUGCUAUAGAAAGAUAAGAUAUUGCUUAAAGGCAGAAAUUUAAAAGUAUUCAGUAUAUUUCAGGAUAUCUCUGAAACAAGGUCAUUGAAAGAUAAUAGAAAUAUUACUGGGGCAUUGGAACUGCAAAAGGAGGCAUUUCAUCCCUUUACAGGGAGAAGAUGUGUCAUUCCUAGCCUGGUCUUUUUCCUGAGAUGUGAUCCUUAGAUCGGGGUUUACCACCAAGCUGUUUGAGGCCAUGCUGUCCAUGCUGGUGCAGUGCUGUGUUUAUGUGGUGUGCACAGACAAAUCCUGUCUCUGAAUGAAGAUCUGGAACUUCUGCAUGACUCUGAAGGGAGAUCAAGUUGGCAGUGGGUCAGAACAAUAUAUUUCCUGAGCAGAACCUACACCAGUGGACAUCUGAUCACACAAAAGUCUUGUAUAUUCCAGCCCCAAUGCACUGUAUCAGAGAUACUUCUGCUGCUCUGUAUUUCCUGUGUCUGGGUUGUUGUCAGGCAGCCCCAUUUUACCCAAACAAUGCAAAUGAGCCAUAAAAUAUUGAUAAAUCUUAUCUGCACUUUUUCACCUUUUGGGGAUAAAUUCCGAUCUUCACUGCAAGUAGCAACUAUCUCCACUUAAGCCAGCAUGGUGCCACUACUUUCAUGGAUAUAAGACUGGGAUGAUUUUGGCAAAGACAGAACAGGGGAGGCCCUAUUAUGUGGAAACACCUCUGUUCUGGAAAAUUAUCCAGUGUUGAUAAACAAUAACCAGCUAGCCCUCACUCACUAUUGCAGGUUUCCAAUAGGAUUUAUGCUGAUCCUGCUAUUGAAGUGGUUCAUUAAAAGUGACAGUGAUGCUGGGACACUGGGGCAAUCAUGGUAGUGUUCUGCAAAAACACCUCAGAGAGCACCUCAGCAUGCCCACUCUAGCAUAACCAGUGGAAGGUUUUUUCUAUGAUGAAAAAAGACAACUGCUGCUAUUUUCAGUCCAUUCCAAUAAUGUGCUUCAUUCUAAUCAGAAGGAGAAGUUUAUACUAAACAAAUGCUCACUUUCUUCACUUCCUUUUUCACAUCAGUCACUGUCAGAUUGAUACAGAAAAUAUGGCUGUUAAUAGCUUGCAGUGGAACAAACAUUUGCAUAACUGUUACCUCAGAGCCCAUAACUCCGAGCUAAUUGGCUGAUGGUGAUUAAAAUGAUUAAGUGACUGUAAUUUAUAUGAUUAACCAAUUAAGCCAUUCUCCUGUGAUUGGCCCAGGGUAGGGUCUGGGAUGUGAGCUUGUUUCCCAGCAUGCAUGCCGGCAGUGCACGAUAUUAAAUAUUCUUUUAAAUACUUGCUCUUGUUCCUGCCAACAGCACUCAAGGUGCUUUAAAGGUAUUUUAAUUACUUCAUAUCAUUUGUGUAGCACAGAGAGUCAUAAGUUGAAGGCAACCUAUGAAUUAUUAACAAAAUAAAUCUAGCACUGGCUAGGGUAACA
Long non-coding RNA from Parus major (Great Tit), 1874 nucleotides. The record is from Ensembl. NCBI's taxonomy places the organism in Eukaryota, Metazoa, Chordata, Aves, Passeriformes, Paridae.